GACGAACGCUGGCGGCGUGCUUAACACAUGCAAGUCGAACGGAAGGGCCCUGCUUUUGUGGGGUGCUCGAGUGGCGAACGGGUGAGUAACACGUGAGUAACCUGCCCUUGACUUUGGGAUAACUUCAGGAAACUGGGGCUAAUACCGGAUAGGAGCUCCUGCUGCAUGGUGGGGGUUGGAAAGUUUCGGCGGUUGGGGAUGGACUCGCGGCUUAUCAGCUUGUUGGUGGGGUAGUGGCUUACCAAGGCUUUGACGGGUAGCCGGCCUGAGAGGGUGACCGGCCACAUUGGGACCGAGAUACGGCCCAGACUCCUACGGGAGGCAGCAGUGGGGAAUAUUGCACAAUGGGCGGAAGCCUGAUGCAGCAACGCCGCGUGCGGGAUGACGGCCUUCGGGUUGUAAACCGCUUUCGCCUGUGACGAAGCGUGAGUGACGGUAAUGGGUAAAGAAGCACCGGCUAACUACGUG
RNAcentral lists this ribosomal RNA (468 nucleotides) under uncultured bacterium. RNAcentral's name for it is "partial 16S ribosomal RNA". It matches the Rfam family "Bacterial small subunit ribosomal RNA", at positions 28 to 507 of the family's 1533-position model. The record is from RNAcentral.